CCUACGGGCGGCAGCAGUGGGGAAUAUUGGGCAAUGGGCGCAAGCCUGACCCAGCAAUGCCGCGUGAAGGAAGAAGGCUUUCGGGUUGUAAACUUCUUUGACAGGGGAAGAGCAGAAGACGGUACCCUGAAAACAAGCCACGGCUAACUACGUGCCAGCAGCCGCGGUAAUACGUAGGUGGCAAGCGUUGGCCGGAUUUACUGGGUGUAAAGGGCGUGUAGCCGGGAAGGCAAGUCAGAUGUGAAAUCUGGAGGCUCAACCUCCAAAUUGCAUUUGAAACUGUUUUUCUUGAGUACUGGAGAGGCAGACGGAAUUCCUGGUGUAGCGGUGAAAUGCGUAGAUAUAAGGAGGAACACCAGUGGCGAAGGCGGUCUGCUGGACAGCAACUGACGGUGAGGCGCGAAAGCGUGGGGAGCAAACAGGAUUAGAUACCCUUGUGUC
This 441-nucleotide ribosomal RNA is filed under the name uncultured bacterium. Its description in RNAcentral is "partial 16S ribosomal RNA". It matches the Rfam family "Bacterial small subunit ribosomal RNA", at positions 338 to 795 of the family's 1533-position model. The record is from RNAcentral.